ACGGGUGAGUAACACGUGGGAACGUACCCUUAUCUUCGGAAUAGCUCCGGGAAACUGGAAUUAAUACCGAAUGCGCCCUUUGGGGGAAAGAUUUAUCGGAUAAGGAUCGGCCCGCGUUGGAUUAGCUAGUUGGUGGGGUAAAGGCCUACCAAGGCGACGAUCCAUAGCUGGUCUGAGAGGAUGAUCAGCCACAUUGGGACUGAGACACGGCCCAAACUCCUACGGGAGGCAGCAGUGGGGAAUAUCGGACAAUGGGCGCAAGCCUGAUCCAGCCAUGCCGCGUGAGUGAUGAAGGCCUUAGGGUUGUAAAGCUCUUUCACCGGAGAAGAUAAUGACGGUAUCCGGAGAAGAAGCCCCGGCUAACUUCGUGCCAGCAGCCGCGGUAAUACGAAGGGGGCUAGCGUUGUUCGGAAUUACUGGGCGUAAAGCGCACGUAGGCGGACAUUUAAGUCAGAGGUGAAAUCCCGGAGCUCAACUUCGGAACUGCCUUUGAUACUGGGUGUCUUGAGUAUGGAAGAGGUUAGUGGAAUUGCGAGUGUAGAGGUGAAAUUCGUAGA
RNAcentral lists this ribosomal RNA (557 nucleotides) under uncultured bacterium. RNAcentral's name for it is "bacterial SSU rRNA". It matches the Rfam family "Bacterial small subunit ribosomal RNA", at positions 102 to 694 of the family's 1533-position model. The record is from RNAcentral.